CCUACGGGUGGCAGCAGUAGGGAAUCUUCCACAAUGGACGAAAGCCUGAUGGAGCAACGUCGCGUGAGUGAUGACGGGUCUCGGCUCGUAAAGCUCCGUUGGUAGUGAAGAAAGAUAGAGGUAGUAACUGGCCUUUAUUUGACGGUAAUUAAUUAGAAAGUCACGGCUAACUACGUGCCAGCAGCCGCGGUAAUACGUAGGUGGCAAGCGUUGUCCGGAUUUAUUUGGCGUAAAGGGAGUGCAGGAGGUACAAUAAGUCUGCUGUGAAAGGCUUGGGCUCAACCCGUGAAUUGCAGCAGAAACUGGUGUACUUGAGUGCGGAAGAGGAAAGCGGAACUCGAUGUGUAGCGGUGGAAUGCGUAGAUAUAUGGAAGAACACCGGUUGCGAAGGCAGCUCUCUGGUCUGCAACUGACGCUGAGGCUCGAAAGCAUGGGUAGCGAACAGGAUUAGAUACCCUGGUAGUC
This 465-nucleotide ribosomal RNA is filed under the name uncultured bacterium. RNAcentral describes it as "partial 16S ribosomal RNA". It matches the Rfam family "Bacterial small subunit ribosomal RNA", at positions 338 to 795 of the family's 1533-position model. The record is from RNAcentral.